This 301-nucleotide ribosomal RNA is filed under the name uncultured bacterium. RNAcentral describes it as "partial 16S ribosomal RNA". It matches the Rfam family "Bacterial small subunit ribosomal RNA", at positions 509 to 807 of the family's 1533-position model. The record is from RNAcentral.
CAGUCGCCGCGGUAAUACGUAGGUGGCAAGCGUUGUCCGGAAUUAUUGGGCGUAAAGGGCUCGCAGGCGGUUUCUUAAGUCUGAUGUGAAAGCCCCCGGCUCAACCGGGGAGGGUCAUUGGAAACUGGGAAACUUGAGUGCAGAAGGGGAGAGUGGAAUUCCACGUGUAGCGGUGAAAUGCGUAGAGAUGUGGAGGAACACCAGUGGCGAAGGCGACUCUCUGGUCUGUAACUGACGCUGAGGAGCGAAAGCGUGGGGAGCGAACAGGAUUAGAGACCCGCGUAGUCCCUGUCUCUUAUAC